UUAUAUUUUGUAGGUAGACAUUCCAAGAUAAAGUUAAAUCCCCCAUGUCAGCCCAUAAAAUUCUUUUUAUUUCAGCCAAAGCCCACUCCACUUACCCACCAUUUAAACCAAUCCAAUACCCAAACUAACCUAUUAACCAAAACCCAAACCCAUCAUACCUACCCAAAUUCAAACCCAAAAAUAAUACCUAAAUUUACACCACCAACCGUCCACCCCUUUUUCAAAUUUAAAAAAAUACCUUAACCUUUCACCCAUCAAAUCCUAAUCUUUCACCUAUCACAUCCAUCUUUUCACCUAGAAAACUACAACUCCACUACCCCAUUUUAACUCACCACUUUCCCUCCCAACCGUCCACUCUUCUCAAACAAAUUAAAAUAAAAAACUUUCACCCAUCCAAUCCCAAGCCUUCACCUAUCACAUCCUACCUUUCUUUUCACCUAGGAAAAACCACAACGCAAUUACGCUCCAUUUGACCGGCCAUGUUAACAAAAUAAACUAAAACCCCUUUUUCAAAUACUACCAUCUUUCUUCUUACUAAAUUCCUUCCUUUACCAUCCUCAAAACCACCACCCAACGCCUCUUUCUUUCGAACCAACCACCCAC
RNAcentral lists this long non-coding RNA (603 nucleotides) under Gossypium raimondii (Peruvian cotton). RNAcentral's name for it is "long non-coding RNA (GRAI_LNC009402)". The record is from RNAcentral. Lineage: Eukaryota; Viridiplantae; Streptophyta; Magnoliopsida; Malvales; Malvaceae.